UACGUAGGGGGCAAGCGUUGUCCGGAUUUAUUGGGCGUAAAGAGCGUGUAGGCGGCCAGGUAGGUCCGUUGUGAAAACUGGAGGCUUAACCUCCAGCUGUCGAUGGAAACCAUCUGGCUAGAGUCCGGAAGAGGAGAGUGGAAUUCAUGGUGUAGCAGUGAAAUGCGUAGAGAUCAUGAGGAAGACCAGUGGCGAAGGCGGGUCUCUGGACAGUUCCUGACACUGAGACACGAAGGCCAGGGGAGCAAACGGG
RNAcentral lists this ribosomal RNA (253 nucleotides) under uncultured bacterium. Its description in RNAcentral is "partial 16S ribosomal RNA". It matches the Rfam family "Bacterial small subunit ribosomal RNA", at positions 524 to 776 of the family's 1533-position model. The record is from RNAcentral.